RNAcentral lists this ribosomal RNA (462 nucleotides) under uncultured Latescibacterota bacterium. Its description in RNAcentral is "bacterial SSU rRNA". It matches the Rfam family "Bacterial small subunit ribosomal RNA", at positions 923 to 1382 of the family's 1533-position model. The record is from RNAcentral. Lineage: Bacteria; Pseudomonadati; Candidatus Latescibacterota.
GCACAAGCGGUGGAGCAUUGUGGUUUAAUUCGAUGGUACGCGAGGAACCUUACCUGGGUUUGACAUACGGAGGGAAGUGGCAGCGAUGUCACUGUGUCGCGAGACGACUCCGCACAGGUGCUGCAUGGCUGUCGUCAGCUCGUGUCGUGAGAUGUUGGGUUAAGUCCCGCAACGAGCGCAACCCUUAUCCCUAGUUGCCAUCAGGUAAAGCUGGGAACUCUGGGGAGACUGCCGGUGAUAAACCGGAGGAAGGCGGGGAUGACGUCAAGUCCUCAUGGCCCUUACAUCCCGGGCUACACACGUGCUACAAUGGCAGGUACAGAGGGCUGCGAAGCCGCGAGGUGGUGCGAAUCCCAGAAAACCUGUCUCAGUCCGGAUUGAAGUCUGCAACUCGACUUCAUGAAGGCGGAAUCGCUAGUAACCGCGAAUCAGCAGGUCGCGGUGAAUACGUUCCCGGGCCUU